CUCAACCUGGGAAUGGCAUUCGAUACUGUCCAGCUAGAGUCUGGUAGAGGGAAGUGGAAUUUCCGGUGUAGCGGUGAAAUGCGUAGAUAUCGGAAGGAACACCAGUGGCGAAGGCGACUUCCUGGACCAAGACUGACGCUGAGGUGCGAAAGCGUGGGUAGCAAACAGGAUUAGAUACCCUGGUAGUCCACGCCGUAAACGAUGAGAACUAGCCGUUGGACCCAUUUAAGGGUUUAGUGGCGCAGCUAACGCAAUAAGUUCUCCGCCUGGGGAGUACGGCCGCAAGGCUAAAACUCAAAGGAAUUGACGGGGGCCCGCACAAGCGGUGGAGCAUGUGGUUUAAUUCGAUGCAACGCGAAGAACCUUACCUGCCCUUGACAUCCUCGGAACUUGGUAGAGAUACCUUGGUGCCUUCGGGAGCCG
RNAcentral lists this ribosomal RNA (423 nucleotides) under uncultured Gammaproteobacteria bacterium. RNAcentral's name for it is "bacterial SSU rRNA". It matches the Rfam family "Bacterial small subunit ribosomal RNA", at positions 608 to 1029 of the family's 1533-position model. The record is from RNAcentral. Lineage: Bacteria; Pseudomonadati; Pseudomonadota; Gammaproteobacteria.